GAUGAACGCUGGCGGCGUGCCUAAUACAUGCAAGUCGAGCGAACAGAUGAGGAGCUUGCUCCUCUGACGUUAGCGGCGGACGGGUGAGUAACACGUGGAUAACCUACCUAUAAGACUGGGAUAACUUCGGGAAACCGGAGCUAAUACCGGAUAAUAUAUUGAACCGCAUGGUUCAAUAGUGAAAGACGGUUUUGCUGUCACUUAUAGAUGGAUCCGCGCCGCAUUAGCUAGUUGGUACGGUAACGGCUUACCAAGGCGACGCUGCGUAGCCGACCUGGGAGGGUGAUCAGCCACAAUAGAACUGAGACACGGUCCAGACUCCUACGGGAGGCAGCAGUAGGGAAUCUUCCGCAAUGGGCGAAAGCCUGACGGAGCAACGCCGCGUGAGUGAUGAAGGUCUUCGGAUCGUAAAACUCUGUUAUGAGGGAAGAACAACUGUGUAAGUAACUAUGCACGUCUUGACGGUACCUAAUCAGAAAGCCACGGCUAACUACGUG
Molecule: ribosomal RNA, 497 nt
Filed under: uncultured bacterium
Lineage: Bacteria
Description: partial 16S ribosomal RNA
Rfam family: Bacterial small subunit ribosomal RNA
Source: RNAcentral